GUGUUGAGGUUCAGUAACAGAAUUCUCACCUUCCAUGUGGGAGACCUGGGUUCGAUUCCUGGCCAAUACA
RNAcentral lists this transfer RNA (70 nucleotides) under Loxodonta africana (African savanna elephant). It matches the Rfam family "tRNA". Rfam says of the family: Transfer RNA (tRNA) molecules are approximately 80 nucleotides in length. Their secondary structure includes four short double-helical elements and three loops (D, anti-codon, and T loops). The record is from Rfam by way of RNAcentral. Lineage: Eukaryota; Metazoa; Chordata; Mammalia; Proboscidea; Elephantidae.